UAAUCGUGUCCCUCUUUCCAGCUGCCAAAGAAGUGGCUUCUGAUGGCACAGCUGAUCAGGCACUGUUUCCCCAUCUUUACAACAAGAUGUGUGGUGUGCUUGAAGACAGCGGUGCACGUGCACUCAAUUCGUUUUGUGGUGACAAAGCAGCUUCUUCAAGUCUAGUCAACAGCCUCCAUCAGCUUGAAAAAGUUUGUGAGGGUGUUGAUAGGAUCUUGAGAGUCCAAGAGAACGGCACCACCUCCAAAGAGGAAGUGGUUGAUGCCAGUGUCGAAGAAGCCACACCUUCAGAAGAUGCUGUCACGGAGGCAGUGAAUGGCGACCUGCCUUCGACUGUCAAGCCGGAGGACAAAAUGGAUGUGGAAGGUUGAUGUUUGGGAUGAAAACUAUAUGAGAACCCCUUUGUUUUAGUUGCUAAACAACAGGCUCUAGUUUACAUCGUUGUAACUCUUAAGCUAGGCACCUAGGUCUAAUGACCUCCAGACCGAUCUCUAAGUUAUCAAUUUUUCCUUAGCUCCUGUCAUUUAGGCUUGUAUUAUAUUUGCAAGCUCGCUGCUUAUUGUUUUACUGUUCCUCCACACCGGAGGUCAGAGUGUGACGGUGAUGGAUGGGCAAUAGAUAUCUGUUUGGUGAUGAACAACCAAACAUGCCCUCUGUGGACGAAAAGGAAUUACCGAUUUGAGGAGGAGCGGAAUGCAAAGAUGACAAACUUUAUUCA
Molecule: long non-coding RNA, 718 nt
Organism: Lolium perenne
Lineage: Eukaryota; Viridiplantae; Streptophyta; Magnoliopsida; Poales; Poaceae
Source: RefSeq, a predicted model, not a curated record